Long non-coding RNA from Bactrocera neohumeralis, 822 nucleotides. RefSeq lists it as uncharacterized. The record is from RefSeq and is a predicted model, not a curated record. NCBI's taxonomy places the organism in Eukaryota, Metazoa, Arthropoda, Insecta, Diptera, Tephritidae. The transcript has 2 exons.
AGGAGCCAAAGUCAUCUUCAUAGCGCACAAAGCAUUUAUGCAGCGACAGAUUUGUGCGUAUGGCAUUCUGGAAUAUAUUCAUUUAUAGAAUAUAAUAAAAUGAACAAUUCAAUUUUGCAAUAACAAAUUGGUGAUGAUGCCGCGGACGUUAUGUGUUUUAUUAGUAACCAUUAUUUGUUUGCAAAUAAUUCAAACAUUUGGUGAUGUAGAAAUAAAAAGAAAUAAGAAAUUUUCACGUUAGCCAUAAUGUUAAGUGUAUUCUCGUAAAGGUAACAGUUUAAUCAUAUACCAAGAUAUUUUGAAAUAUAUUAACUAUAAAUUAUGUGUAUGUGUUUAAUACGUAUUUAAACUAUUUAAUAUUAAGAAAAAAGUUUUAUUUUGACUAAGUAAAUAAAAACUAUAAACAGUAAUUUGAAAAGUAGAUGUAUUAAGAACUUGACGCACAAAUAUUUAUUUAAAUAUGCAAUUAAGUAAAUAAUUGUUUUUUUUAUUGUUGUAUAAUAAUAAUUUAAUAAAACGGAAGUUGCCAUUUUAUUGUUUAUUUCCAGUAGGGAAAGUAUCUAUAUGCGAAAUAGCAUGCUCAAAUUGUAAGCAAAUUUGAAAAAAGUUGAAUUACAUUUUUAACAAAUUUAUAAUAGGAUAAUAUUAGUAGUAUCGUAUGUUAUUAUAUACAUUUUAUUUCUGCAUAAAGUAAAGUUUGGCAAAAGGGCAUACAUAUAUGUAAUUAACACAUUUCAUUUCGUCUCGAGAAAAUGUAAAAUUAAAAAUGUAGAAAACAUAUUAAAAUAAAUAAAACACCGCAUGUCAAAAUAAAAGAAUAAA